Molecule: non-coding RNA, 82 nt
Organism: Emiliania huxleyi CCMP1516
Lineage: Eukaryota; Haptophyta; Isochrysidales; Noelaerhabdaceae
Source: Rfam
GUCGAGGUGGCCGAGUGGUCUAAGGCGGCGGCUUUAGGCGCCGUUCCAGAAAUGGGCGCGGGUUCGAACCCCGUCCUCGACA